Molecule: ribosomal RNA, 482 nt
Filed under: uncultured bacterium
Lineage: Bacteria
Description: SSU rRNA
Rfam family: Bacterial small subunit ribosomal RNA
Source: RNAcentral
AGAAUGAACGCUGGCGGCGUGCUUAACACAUGCAAGUCGAACGGAAUCCAAGGAGCUUGCUCUGGAAGAUUUAGUGGCGAACGGGUGAGUAUCACGUGAGCAACCUGCCCCGAAGACUGGGAUAACACCGGGAAACCGGUGCUAAUACCGGAUACCUUCCAAUGACCGCAUGGUCGAUGGAAGAAAUGUUUUUCGCUUCGGGAGGGGCUCGCGGUCCAUCAGCUUGUUGGCGGGGUAACGGCCCACCAAGGCUUCGACGGAUAGCUGGUCUGAGAGGACGAUCAGCCACACUGGAACUGAGACACGGUCCAGACUCCUACGGGAGGCAGCAGUGGGGAAUCUUGCGCAAUGGACGAAAGUCUGACGCAGCAACGCCGCGUGAGGGACGAAGGUUUUCUGAAUUGUAAACCUCUUUCGACAGGGACGAUAAUGACGGUACCUGUAGAAGAAGCACCGGCCAACUAUGUGCCAGCAGCCGCGGU